Molecule: non-coding RNA, 499 nt
Organism: Prunus avium (sweet cherry)
Lineage: Eukaryota; Viridiplantae; Streptophyta; Magnoliopsida; Rosales; Rosaceae
Source: RefSeq, a predicted model, not a curated record
CUCGUGUUUCAUGACUCUGACCUCACACUAAGAUGAGAUUUUUCUUGGUUUGGUUUUUUGAAAAAAAGUAGUGGGGGUUGGGUCAUAUCAUCUCAUGUACGAUUGGAUUGGAUUGGAGCAUCCAUCCAUGAUCCAUCCAUCAGCAAAGCAAACAGAGACCUUUCUUUCAGAACUUCCUAGAAUCCUAGGCAGUAUCAUAUACCCCGAAGAGCUCUCUCUCUCUCUCUCUCUCUCUCUCUCUCUCUCAAGCACAAAAUUGUUGAGUGUGGCUUCCUACCCUUAUUUAUAUGAAGGCCAUGGUAUCAAGAAAGAAAAGAAAAAAAAGCACGGUGUUAGCAAAAACUUUGGUAUGGGUAUGGAGUGGGAAAGAGAAUUGUUCUACAGCCGCAUGUUGAUGGAUGGGUAUGUUGCUGAUCGAUGAUGUAUUUUAAUUAUUGCUGCUUUGGCUUGUAAUUAUAAGCACAUGACAAUUUAAUAGUGCUUUAUGUUUAUUUCAUGU